This 253-nucleotide ribosomal RNA is filed under the name uncultured bacterium. RNAcentral's name for it is "partial 16S ribosomal RNA". It matches the Rfam family "Bacterial small subunit ribosomal RNA", at positions 524 to 776 of the family's 1533-position model. The record is from RNAcentral.
UACGAAGGGGGCUAGCGUUGCUCGGAAUCACUGGGCGUAAAGCGCGCGUAGGCGGACCUGCAAGUCGGGGGUGAAAGCCCGAGGCUCAACCUCGGAACUGCCUUCGAUACUGCGGGUCUCGAGUCCGGGAGAGGUGAGUGGAAUUCCUAGUGUAGAGGUGAAAUUCGUAGAUAUUCGGAGGAACACCAGUGGCGAAGGCGGCUCACUGGUCCAUUACUGACGCUGAGGUGCGAAAGCGUGGGGAGCAAACAGG